AACGAACGGUGGCGGCGUGGAUAAUACAUGCAAGUCGAGGGGCAGCGCAGUGUAGCAAUACAUGGGCGGCGACCGGCAAACGGGUGCGGAACACGUACACAACCUUCCUUUUAGUGGAGCAUAGCCCAGGGAAACUUGGAUUAAUACUCCGUAAUAUAACGAGAUGGCAUCAUUUUGUUAUUAUAGAAGCAAUUCGCUAG
Molecule: ribosomal RNA, 200 nt
Filed under: uncultured bacterium
Lineage: Bacteria
Description: partial 16S ribosomal RNA
Rfam family: Bacterial small subunit ribosomal RNA
Source: RNAcentral